AGAGAGAGACAUGCGCGCAUAUCAAUAAGCGGAGGAAAAGAAACUAACAAGGAUUCCCUUAGUAACGGCGAGUGAAGCGGGAAGAGCUCAAAUUUGAAAUCAUCAAGGUUUUACCUUGACGAAUUGUAGUUUAAAGAAGUGUUUUCUGCUGAAGUUUUGGUAAAAGUUCUUUGGAAUAGGACAUCAUAGAGGGUGAGAAUCCCGUAUUUGACCAUUAUUUUCAGCUUUGUGAUACACUUUCAAAGAGUCGGAUUGUUUGGGAAUGCAGUCCAAAAUGGGUGGUAAAUUUCAUCUAAAGCUAAAUAUUGGCGAGAGACCGAUAGCGAACAAGUACCGUGAGGGAAAGAUGAAAAGAACUUUGAAAAGAGAGUUAAACAGUACGUGAAAUUGUCAAAAGGGAAGCGUUUGACACCAGUGUUGUUUUCUCGAAAAUCAAUUAAAAAUGGCUCGAUUUUGUAUUGCUUGAGACCUUAAAAGCUCACUGUACAUUUUUCGUGUCUUUUUUAAUGCACUUUUCGUUUAACAAGUCAACAUCAGUUUCUUUUGUUGUAAAAGGGUCAUUGGAAGGUGGCUUUCUUUUCGGAGAAAGUGUUUAUAGCCUUUGGCCUCUGCAAUCGGAAGAGACUGAGGUCUGCAGCGUAGACUCUUCGGGGUUAGAUACAUUUGUGCUAAGUUAUAGCUUUUUAUAGACAACUUGUUGACUAUAAUUAGUCUUGUAGCUUACUCGCUUAUGCUAUUUUACCUACGCUUAGGAUGUUGAAGAUGUAGCACAUCAU
RNAcentral lists this ribosomal RNA (776 nucleotides) under uncultured Neocallimastigales. RNAcentral describes it as "partial large subunit ribosomal RNA". It matches the Rfam family "Eukaryotic large subunit ribosomal RNA", at positions 23 to 620 of the family's 3401-position model. Lineage: Eukaryota; Fungi; Neocallimastigomycota; Neocallimastigomycetes; Neocallimastigales. The record is from RNAcentral.